AGCCCUGGAACUGAGCCUGGCUCUGGUAAAUAGCUCCAACGUGCGAGCCAUGAUGCAAGAGCUGCAGGCCUUUCUGGAGUCCUGCCCUCCUGACCUACGGGCUGACUGUGCCUCAGGCAUCCUGCUGGCUGCAGAGAGGUGAGGUGCCCAGGAGUCAAAGAGGGUAGAAUCUGGGGAGGGUCAGUACCAGGACUGAUGAGCCAUAUAUCCCCUAGGUUUGCUCCAACCAAACGCUGGCACAUAGACACCAUCCUGCAUGUGCUGACAACGGUGAGGCAGGGGCCAGUCAGAGAGCUGGGCAGAAGUGGUCAGGAUUCACCACACUGACUUGGCCAUGCCCACACCUUCCAGGCGGGCACCCACGUGCGGGAUGAUGCAGUGGCCAACCUGACCCAGCUGAUUGGGGGGGCCCAGGAGCUACAUGCCUACUCUGUGCGCCGCCUCUACAAUGCCCUGGCAGAAAACAUUUCCCAGCAACCACUGGUGCAGGUGGCAGCCUGGUGCAUUGGGGAGUAUGGGGACCUCCUGCUGGCGGGGAACUGCGAGGAGAUUGAGCCCCUUCAGGUGGACGAAGAGGAAGUGCUGGCAUUGCUGGAAAAGGUGCUGCAGUCCCAUAUGUCCCUGCCAGCCACUCGAGGAUAUGCCCUCACGGCCCUCAUGAAGCUCAGCACUCGCCUCUGUGGGGACAACAAGUAAGAAGGGGUCCCAGCCCCUUGAGAGAUGGCCUGUCACUGGGCCCACCCAUUUCUGAGUUUCUUUCCAGGCAUACAUACCCAGCCCUCCCUACCCCCCA
This 793-nucleotide small RNA is filed under the name Pongo abelii (Sumatran orangutan). Its description in RNAcentral is "retained intron". The record is from RNAcentral. Lineage: Eukaryota; Metazoa; Chordata; Mammalia; Primates; Hominidae.